GAUGAACGCUGGCGGCGUGCCUAAUACAUGCAAGUCGAGCGAACAGACGAGGAGCUUGCUCCUCUGACGUUAGCGGCGGACGGGUGAGUAGCACGUGGAUAACCUACCUAUAAGACUGGGAUAACUUCGGGAAACCGGAGCUAAUACCGGAUAAUAUAUUGAACCGCAUGGUUCAAUAGUGAAAGACGGUUUUGCUGUCACUUAUAGAUGGAUCCGCGCCGCAUUAGCUAGUUGGUAAGGUAACGGCUUACCAAGGCGACGAUGCGUAGCCGACCUGAGAGGGUGAUCGGCCACACUGGAACUGAGACACGGUCCAGACUCCUACGGGAGGCAGCAGUAGGGAAUCUUCCGCAAUGGGCGAAAGCUUGACGGAGCAACGCCGCGUGAGUGAUGAAGGUCUUCGGAUCGUAAAACUCUGUUAUUAGGGAAGAACAAAUGUGUAAGUAACUAUGCACGUCUUGACGGUACCUAAUCAGAAAGCCACGGCUAACUACGUG
RNAcentral lists this ribosomal RNA (497 nucleotides) under uncultured bacterium. Its description in RNAcentral is "partial 16S ribosomal RNA". It matches the Rfam family "Bacterial small subunit ribosomal RNA", at positions 28 to 507 of the family's 1533-position model. The record is from RNAcentral.